This 253-nucleotide ribosomal RNA is filed under the name uncultured bacterium. RNAcentral's name for it is "partial 16S ribosomal RNA". It matches the Rfam family "Bacterial small subunit ribosomal RNA", at positions 524 to 776 of the family's 1533-position model. The record is from RNAcentral.
UACAGAGGGGGCAAGCGUUAUUCGGAAUUAUUGGGCGUAAAGGGCGCGUAGGCGGCUUUUCAAGUGACGGGUGAAAUCCCUCGGCUUAACCGAGGAACUGCCUGUCAGACUGGGAGGCUUGAGACCGGGAGAGGUGAGUGGAAUUCCCAGUGUAGCGGUGAAAUGCGUAGAUAUUGGGAGGAACACCAGUGGCGAAGGCGGCUCACUGGACCGGUACUGACGCUGAUGCGCGAAAGCGUGGGGAGCAAACAGG